AGUGAACGCUGGCGGUAGGCCUAACACAUGCAAGUCGAACGGCAGCACAGUAAGAGCUUGCUCUUACGGGUUGCGAGUGGCGUACGUGUGAGGAAUACAUCGUACUCUACUUUUUCGUGUGGGAUAACGUAGGUAAACUUACGCUAAUAUCGCAUCCGACCUACGGGUGAAAGCAUGGGAUCUUCUCACCUUGCGCGAUUGAAUGCGCCGAUGUCGGAUUAGCUAGUUGGCGGGUUAAAGGCCCACCCAGGCGACGAUCCGUAGCUGGUGUGAGAGGAUGAUAACCCACAUGGGAACGGAACCACGGACCAGACUACUGAGAGAGGCAGCAGAGUGGAAUAUUGGACAAUGGGGGCAAGCAUGAUCCAGCCAGACCGAGUGGGUGAAAGAGGCCUUGGGGUUGGAAAGACCUUUUGUUGGGAAAGAAAAGCAGCAGGUUGAGACGAAGCUGUUCUGACGGUACCCAAAGAAUAAGCACCGGCUAACUACGUG
RNAcentral lists this ribosomal RNA (492 nucleotides) under uncultured bacterium. RNAcentral's name for it is "partial 16S ribosomal RNA". It matches the Rfam family "Bacterial small subunit ribosomal RNA", at positions 29 to 507 of the family's 1533-position model. The record is from RNAcentral.